UACGGAGGUCCCGAGCGUUGUUCGGAUUCAUUGGGCGUAAAGGGUGCGUAGGCGGCUUUCUAAGUCUGAUGUGAAAUCCUGGGGCUCAACCCCAGAACUGCAUUGGAUACUGGAAGGCUAGAGUACUGGAGAGGAAACUGGAAUUUACGGUGUAGCAGUGAAAUGCGUAGAGAUCGUAAGGAAGACCAGUGGCGAAGGCGAGUUUCUGGACAGUAACUGACGCUGAGGCACGAAGGCCAGGGGAGCAAACGGG
RNAcentral lists this ribosomal RNA (253 nucleotides) under uncultured bacterium. RNAcentral describes it as "partial 16S ribosomal RNA". It matches the Rfam family "Bacterial small subunit ribosomal RNA", at positions 524 to 776 of the family's 1533-position model. The record is from RNAcentral.